This is a long non-coding RNA of Vitis vinifera (wine grape), 1825 nucleotides long. RefSeq lists it as uncharacterized. Lineage: Eukaryota; Viridiplantae; Streptophyta; Magnoliopsida; Vitales; Vitaceae. The transcript is spliced from 2 exons. The record is from RefSeq and is a predicted model, not a curated record.
AACCUAAACCUAAUUUCUUGAUAUUUCUUGAUACCUUGACUGGUUCCACAUUUUUCAAAUAAAUGCCAAAAAAAGUUAUUAGCAUUUACAAUCACUCGUCAAGACUCAAGAUUUAAGAAAAAAACAUGAAGCCAAUGGGCUGGCUCAAAGGCAGUCACAAAGAAGUAACCAUUGAUAGAUGACCGCCGGGUUUUAUCAGACUGGGCUCACAAAUGGGCUGGCUUAUUGGGACAGAACCGGUCGAGCUUUAAAGCAAACCGUCAAAUUCAUAGUGACAGUCACAGACAACAAACAGGAAAACCCUAAGGGACAUUGAAGAGUGGAAACCCAUUUGCCCAAAGACAUACCAGGGUUUUCUACAGAAAGCUUUGAAUUAUAUCAUUGAGGGGUUAAAUGGCUUUGAGGCGUCUCUUUGGGUUUUCUGAUGGGGAGCUUAUGAGGUCAGAUGCCAAACCUUGUUCUAGAUUAAUGAAACAGACCGCUGGACUUUUUACUGUUGGUGGGGGAUUCGCAUUCUGGAUUCUUUGUCGGUUGCAUUACGGUAUGGUCCUCGUUGUUAUUUUAUCGUCAAUGCUCUGUAUGAUUGGAUUUUUAUUAGAGCCCCAAGUUUGGUAGCAUGCUGGUUUGAUUAAGGUGAUGAAAGACUGGAGCCAUGCUCUUGAUUUAUCCUCAAUCUUUACUCAAGUGAUUGUUAGUUUAUAUUCACUUUUGGUUUCUCUUGUUAUGGCUCUCUGAUAGUUAUCAGAACCUUCUUAGUUAGAAAGGUCAGCUGUAGUGUUUUUAUUCAAUUUAAAGCAAAGAGGUUUUGAUAUCCAAAAAAACUAUUCUGCUUGCAAUGCAUUUUCUUGCUAUCAUAAAUGUUUAUAUGUUUUACAGAAGGGCCUAUCCAUGAUCUGAUGCUUUGAGAUUGGAAUAUUGUGUCACAAAAGUUGUUUAUGCAUUGUCCAGAUGUUGGGGAUGUUUGUUUUCUUCUUCAAAAGAUUAUUCAUUACUAAAUCUUCAAAAUAAAGCUAACGAAAUUUGAACUGAUGUUCUGCUGUUUAAGUUACAUUGAUUGACAUCUUACACUAGUUAUUUAAAAUGUUCCAAAAGGACUUUCAUGAUUGAAGGCAUGCAAAACCUUAUUUUGUUGAAAUACAUCCAUGUGAUGAAAGGCAACCCACCUGGUACCUACCAUACUCGAAAACCACUUCUUCCAACACCGUGGAGAGUUAAAAUAAACAUUGUCAGGAUUACACAACUUGGCUCCUUGGUGAGUGAAAAUGGAAAAGAGAAGAGGAAGUCAGAAAAACUCUACCCAUAUAGGACAAAAUUUAGACCUUAAACUUCUUUUGGGUGGGUGGAGUGGACUGUGUUUAAUCUUUAAACUGAAUUACUUUUACUUUAGCUCUUUAUAUUUUGACAUCUUCGCUAGUAAUUAUACCAAAAUUCCACUCACUCAAUUCUAUUUUGCUAGAAUCACAUUAUAUAUAUUUACUUUUUAAUGCUUAUGCAGGUCCCAGAAUUACAGUGCCCAGAAGUCUUCGGUGGGCAGCUUGUGGAGCAGUAUCUGUGAGCUCGAGCAGUGCUUUGCUAGUCCGCCUCUUUAGUCCUGCAUGUGAGCCGCAGAAUAUAGCAGCUUAUGACAACAAAAAAUAAUGCUAGAUUACUAAGAGGUAUUCAAACUGGAACGGGAAUGAGUACUCUUCUAUUUGUCUCGUGUGGGAAAAUGAUUUUAUUUUGUAUUUCCUCCACAGAAUACCAGGGCUAAUUUCAUGUAACUACUACUGGUGCUCAGUGUGUGGGCUAGUAUCUGUUAACUGAAAAUAAAUUUCCUGUUAGUUUA